GGGGGAAAAUACAUCGGAACGUGUCCUGCUAGCGGGGGAUAGCCCGGCGAAAGCCGGAUUAAUACCGCAUACGAUCUGCGGAUGAAAGCGGGGGCUCCUUCGGGACCUCGCGCUACAGGGGCGGCCGAUGGCAGAUUAGCCAGUUGGUGGGGUAAAGGCCUACCAAGGCGACGAUCUGUAGCUGGUCUGAGAGGACGACCAGCCACACUGGGACUGAGACACGGCCCAGACUCCUACGGGAGGCAGCAGUGGGGAAUUUUGGACAAUGGGCGCAAGCCUGAUCCAGCAAUGCCGCGUGUGUGAAGAAGGCCUUCGGGUUGUAAAGCACUUUUGUCCGGAAAGAAAACCUUCGCCCUAAUACGGUGGGGGGAUGACGGUACCGGAAGAAUAAGCACCGGCUAACUACGUGCCAGCAGCCGCGGUAAUACGUAGGGUGCAAGCGUUAAUCGGAAUUACUGGGCGUAAAGCGUGCGCAGGCGGUUCGCUAAGACAGAUGUGAAAUCCCCGGGCUUAACCUGGGAACUGCAUUUGUGACUGGCGGGCUAGAGUAUGGCAGAGGGGGGUAGAAUUCCACGCGUAGCACUGAAAUGCGUAGAGAUGUGGAGGAAUACCGAUGGCGAAGGCAGCCCCCUGGGCCAAUAC
This 642-nucleotide ribosomal RNA is filed under the name uncultured beta proteobacterium. RNAcentral describes it as "bacterial SSU rRNA". It matches the Rfam family "Bacterial small subunit ribosomal RNA", at positions 105 to 740 of the family's 1533-position model. The record is from RNAcentral. Lineage: Bacteria; Pseudomonadati; Pseudomonadota; Betaproteobacteria.